GAAACUGCGAAUGGCUCAUUAAAUCAGUUAUCGUUUAUUUGAUAGUACUUCACUACAUGGACAACUGUGGUAAUUCUAGAGCUAAUACAUGCUAAAAACCCCGACUUCGGAAGGGGUGUAUUUAUUAGAUAAAAAACCAAUGCCCUCCGGGGCUCCUUGGUGAAUCAUAAUAACUUAACGAAUCGCAUGGCCUUGCGCCGGCGAUGGUUCAUUCAAAUUUCUGCCCUAUCAACUUUCGAUGGUAGGAUAGUGGCCUACCAUGGUUUCAACGGGUAACGGGGAAUUAGGGUUCGACUCCGGAGAGGGAGCCUGAGAAACGGCUACCACAUCCAAGGAAGGCAGCAGGCGCGCAAAUUACCCAAUCCCGACGCGGGGAGGUAGUGACAAUAAAUACUGAUACAGGGCUCUUUCGGGUCUUGUAAUUGGAAUGAGUACAAUUUAAAUCCCUUAACGAGGAACAAUUGGAGGGCAAGUCUGGUGCCAGCAGCCGCGGUAAUUCCAGCUCCAAUAGCGUAUAUUAAAGUUGUUGCAGUUAAAAAGCUCGUAGUUGAACCUUGGGCCUGGCUGGCCGGUCCGCCUCACCGCGUGUACUGGUCCGGCCGGGCCUUUCCUUCUGGGGAACCGCAUGGCCUUCACUGGCCGUGUCGGGGAACCAGGACUUUUACUUUGAAAAAAUUAGAGUGUUCAAAGCAGGCCUUUGCUCGAAUACAUUAGCAUGGAAUAAUAGAAUAGGACGCGCGGUUCUAUUUUGUUGGUUUCUAGGACCGCCGUAAUGAUUAAUAGGGACAGUCGGGGGCAUCCGUAUUCAAUUGUCAGAGGUGAAAUUCUUGGAUUUAUUGAAGACGAACUACUGCGAAAGCAUUUGCCAAGGAUGUUUUCAUUAAUCAGUGAACGAAAGUUAGGGGAUCGAAGACGAUCAGAUACCGUCGUAGUCUUAACCAUAAACUAUGCCGACUAGGGAUCGGUGGGUGUUAUUAUUUUGACCCCAUCGGCACCUUACGAGAAAUCAAAGUUU
Molecule: ribosomal RNA, 1015 nt
Filed under: fungal sp. FCS5 LX-2016
Lineage: Eukaryota; Fungi
Description: SSU rRNA
Rfam family: Eukaryotic small subunit ribosomal RNA
Source: RNAcentral